AAGGGAGACCUAAUUCCGGUAGGAGACGAAAAAAAAGUAGUCCCAACCAAGAAUCAAUCCCAAAAGGUCGGAACGAGGUAUGAGGCUUUCAAACUAGGUUCUGGGUUCAUAAAAGACCUGAAUCAGGAACAAGGGCUAUUAGCUCAGGUGGUUAGAGCGCACCCCUGAUAAGGGUGAGGUCCCUGGUUCGAGUCCAGGAUGGCCCACCUGCACAGGUGGCAAAAACAAGAGAAGCUCCGAAUCAGCACCUUAUCUUACAUACAUAUAUAAGAGAGAAUGCUGGCUCUGAGUACAGAGUCCGGAGGAACCUUGAAAACUGCAUAGAGCUAGGUGAAAAAGCCAAAAAAGAAGACCGCAA
Molecule: transfer RNA, 358 nt
Filed under: uncultured Microcystis sp.
Lineage: Bacteria; Bacillati; Cyanobacteriota; Cyanophyceae; Chroococcales; Microcystaceae
Description: partial 16S-23S ribosomal RNA intergenic spacer
Rfam family: tRNA (bases 133-206)
Source: RNAcentral